RNAcentral lists this ribosomal RNA (135 nucleotides) under Paenibacillus larvae. RNAcentral's name for it is "partial 16S ribosomal RNA". It matches the Rfam family "Bacterial small subunit ribosomal RNA", at positions 1399 to 1533 of the family's 1533-position model. Lineage: Bacteria; Bacillati; Bacillota; Bacilli; Caryophanales; Paenibacillaceae. The record is from RNAcentral.
ACACCACGAGAGUUUACAACACCCGAAGUCGGUGAGGUAACCGCAAGGGGCCAGCCGCCGAAGGUGGGGUAGAUGAUUGGGGUGAAGUCGUAACAAGGUAGCCGUAUCGGAAGGUGCGACUGGAUCACCUCCUUU